UGGAAGUGACCAGGUUACAGACUUGUAAGCUUACUGAGUUAGAAGAGGCAUCUGAGGGUCCCUCAGCAACUGAAGGUGGUAGCAGAGAGUGGAGUCAAGUGCCCUGCAUGGCCCAGUCAGUCCAACAGUAGAUUGACCUGCUAGUCAAGCCUUUACAUCUUGGGAGCAGCCCGACCCAGAAGGGGAGCAGCUCAUCCCUCCCCAACACAAUGAAUUCCCUGAAUAGAGUUUAAUGGAUGUUCUAUAAAGGGAGAAAAAGACUCCUAAGGCUAGAGAUUCCAGGACUGAAGCCAAUUAGAUGUUCACAUUAAGUCUGGCACCAAUAUGGAACCUUAUCACCAGGAACUACAUCAUCCUGCAAGAUCACAUCAAUCUUAGUACUUCCCUCACCAAUAUACUCUGCCCAUCUGAUGGAGAAGGAGGUAGAGAGGAGAGGUUCUCCUUUUCAAGCUUCUUUUUAAUUUAUUGUUUCCCCCCCAUUAGAUUGUAAAUUCCUUGAGGGUAGAGACUGCCUUUCUUUUUUCAAAUCCCUAUCUCUACUGGUUAACUGCAAGCAAUUACUAGAUGUUUAUUGACUGCCUGUGUCAGAAUUUUAAAUUGUAAAAUUUGAAUUAAUUUAAAUUAAAUUUGAAUUCAUUUGAAAUUAAUUUGAAUUAAUUUAAAAUGUUUAAAAAUUGAAU
Molecule: long non-coding RNA, 680 nt
Filed under: Monodelphis domestica (gray short-tailed opossum)
Lineage: Eukaryota; Metazoa; Chordata; Mammalia; Didelphimorphia; Didelphidae
Description: lncRNA (ENSMODG00000048983.1)
Source: RNAcentral